Rattus norvegicus (Norway rat) is the source of this 2400-nucleotide RNA transcript. It is a transcript of the gene named glycosylphosphatidylinositol anchored molecule like, with no coding region annotated. The record is from RefSeq and is marked validated. NCBI's taxonomy places the organism in Eukaryota, Metazoa, Chordata, Mammalia, Rodentia, Muridae. The transcript has 4 exons.
CACUAAAAGACCGUUGGAGCUCGAGUGAAUUACUAGAGACGCUCAAACCCCAAGGUUCACCUGCCUGUUGGAAAUGAUGCUCCCCUUCUUCUUGCUAAUUCUCCUGAGUCUCCCAUGGGUGGAUACUACUGUCAACAAUACCAGUGGGUUCGGCAACAGUACUAGUGACUUGGAAGAUCCAAACAAAGCUAGAUGGGUUGCUCAUUUGACGUGCAAACGGUGCACAGUCACUAACAGCUUCUCGUGUUCACCUACUCGUGAAUGUCCGGUAAAUAUCAGACGCUGCCUAACAAUCGCUAUACACUCCUACUGAAUUAUUCAAUGAUGUGCCGAGACUCAGCCAUCUCCCUAUGCUUUUCCCAAUGAAAAGACCAACUGGAGAUCAUCUUCAGCUGUCUACAGUAGAUGAGUAUUUAGUGUCCAGUGGUCUUAUGGAGAAGCUGGCCACUGGAUGUGCUGUUUUCCUGAGGUUGGCCUUAGAAGCAAAUGCAGAAGAAAUGAAUGGGUGAUUCCAGGGAAAGGAAAUGGACCACAUGGAUGGGUGCUGCUAUUGAGACUGGGCAUGCAGUACAUGUGGGUCCAGGUAGUAAGACCUAUAAAUUGGACAAUCCAGGAGGCCACUAUAUUCAUUACUUUUUUUUACCGUUAUAAAACACCAUGUCCAAAGCAACUUAUAUAAGAGUUUUCUUUUGGUCGUACAGUUCUAGAGGGUUAGGAUUCAUGAUGGUGGAGUGGAGGCAGCAGGUGACAUGUCUGGAGCAGCAGCUGUGAGCUCACAUCUUGAACUACAAACAGAAAGCAAGAAUCACAUUGAGGGAGGCAAUGAAGCUUUUGAAGUCUUAAACCCAGCCCCAGUGACAGACCUCCACUAAAAAGGUUACGUCAUCUAAUCCUUCCCAAACAGUACCACCAACUGGGAACCAAGUAUUCAAAUGCAAGAGACUGUUGGAAGACAUCUCAUUCAAACCACCACACAUGAUGUUUCAACUUGCCCAACUUAGCUUGGUGACCUAAGACACAGUGUCACUUAUUCUUUUGUGGAGUGAAAAGCCCGUAGCUGGAAGAACUUUGGAGUUCAUUGGAAGGACCAUCAUGAGGAGGAGCUCCACCACCCAUAGAGCUACAACAUCCCCUUUUCUGACUCCUCUAGAAUGGGCCUGCUGGAUGGGAGGAUGGCAAGAAACCUCCACAUUUGCUUCUGUGAUUAAAAAGCACAUGACUCUUCUAGGACAACGCCUCAGUGUCAGGCUACAGACAGGGCUCAGAGAUGGGGCGUCUCAGGAACAAAGUACCUGUUUUCUCCUGCUAUCUGCUCUUGGUGGCUUUGUGGGCUGGGCUCAGUCCAACUUUACUCUAGGAAGGUGAUCUUUCCUUAGGGACCUGGGGACCAAAGCAAGUCCAAGCCAAGUCUGGUGCAGGUACUCUGUACUUGUUCCUCUGGCUGCCUUUCUUCUCUUAUGGUGUCCAACUGUUGGUAAGAGUUUUACCAUGAUUAAUGGGAAGAAACCAGGUUGCUUCCAUCUAUCCAUGAUAAAUUAAUAGUAAAAAGUAGACAGCAAGAUAGAUAGAUAGAUAGAUAGAUAGAUAGAUAGAUAGAUAGAUAGAUAGAUAGAUAGAUAUGGGGUGGUUAAUAUGGCCACAUUGGGCAGAGGGAUAAUGAGAUUCGUUAACCUAGUCUAAUAAACCUUCAAGGUCCUGAAGUUAAGGUUCACGUGGAGGCCUGCGUUAUGCUUCUCUAAGCAGUCCCAGUCAAGGUAUAGCUCUGUCCAUCACUGUCUGGGCCCCAAUAUCUCCACUAAGGCAGUCUGACAAGUUGUUGGCACUGUGGGAAAUCUCUUUUCUUGUAGGCAAAUUCCUCCUUUGUUUUUUACCGGGCUUUAGAAUUUUCUUGCUUUCCCAGCAUGAGAUUGCUGGUGGGCAUUCCAGUUGUUCAGGAGUCAGCUGAUUCAAGGGUCUGUUAAUCAAAAGGAGAGACACAGGAAUUUCUUCAAACUAGCUUUGUUCCUGUCAGGUAGGUUACCAGGGCAAGAAGAAGUUCAGUAAGCCACUCAUGCUAGAGUGCGUCACAGGCUGUCUUCUAGGUCACGAGCAAACAGUCAAUACAGAUCAUCCUUUUGAUGUGGGGACACCCCAGUCCAGUUAGCUUGAAGCAGCUUAGAAUCUCCAUGCCUAGGGAUGUGCUCUUUGUGAUCUGGGAAGUGAGGACAACUGAAGGCUAAAUGAAAGCAAGAGCAAGGGAAGCUUCAAAUCCUGAUGUCUAUUACCUGCCUGACAAUGGCCCUCGAAAGCACAUGACUGUUACUGACACACAAGAAUCAAAUUAAAUGGCCUAGAUGACCUACAAGUAGCAUCAACUACUCCUGCAUCUUUUGACCUGUCUACUCAGGGAGGUGACAAAAA